GAUGAACGCUGGCGGCGUGCCUAAUACAUGCAAGUCGAGCGAACAGACGAGGAGCUUUCUCCUCUGCGGUUAGCGACGGACGGGCGAGUAACACGUAGAUAGGCUACCUCUUAUACUGGGGUAACUUCGUGGAAACGCAGCCGAUACCAGCUAAUAUAUUCAACCGGAUGGUUCAAUAGUGCAUGACGCCUUUCCUGUCUCUUAUAGCUGGAUCCGCGCCGCAUUAUCUGGUGGGUAAGGUAACGGCUUACCAAGGCAACGAUGCUGAGCCGACCUGAGAGGGUGAUCGGCCACACUGGAACUGAGACACGGUCCAGACUCCUACGGGAGGCAGCAGUAGGGAAGCUUCCGCAAUGGGCGAAAGCUUGACGGAGCAACGCCGCGUGAGUGAUGAAGGUCUUCGGAUCGUAAAACUCUGUUAUUAGGGAAGAACAAAUGUGUAAGUAACUAUGCACGUCUUGACGGUACCUAAUCAGAAAGCCACGGCUAACUACGUG
Molecule: ribosomal RNA, 497 nt
Filed under: uncultured bacterium
Lineage: Bacteria
Description: partial 16S ribosomal RNA
Rfam family: Bacterial small subunit ribosomal RNA
Source: RNAcentral